UUAUGAUCAUACAUAUGGCAUAUUGUUAAACUUGGUGAUAUAAUAUGCAAAUUUAUAUUAUAUUGGUAAUAAACGUUAGGAUUUCCACAAUUUAAAACUGUCAAAAGAUUUUUCGGACAGUAGAACAGUAGACAAUCCGUGUAUUGCAUUGGAUUUUAGUAAAUUGAAAACGAAAUAACAGGUAUUAAUUUUAAAAUGUUUUUCUUUUAUGUGAUUAUUUUCAUUUUCACAGAAAUUAUUCUUAAUGCUCAUUACUGACAACUUAUUAUUACACGUAACCCUGCAUCAUUUAUGUGUAAUACAAUUACAGUAAAUACUGUGAUAGUAGUAUAACUGAAAUGAAUUGUAUUUAACAUUAAUGUAUUAUAUUUGAUUAAAAUACUACUAAAAUUAAUAUUUUUGUUCUCAAACACAUAUUUUAUAAAAUUAUUCAAUAUUAUAGGUAAAUUAUUCAUUUAUAGUGCAAUAACAAACAUAUUUAUCCAAACUUGUAAUUUGCCUACAUAAUAUAUAAACUACUGGUCUGAUGUUUAAUUAUACAAUUGGUGCAUAAUUAAGGACAGGUUUUAUUAUUAUAAUUUAUUUAAAUAGCUAUUUUAUUCUAUUCACAGUAUUCAACGACAAAAAUUAAAGUAGAUGUAUCUAUCAUGG
Cinara cedri is the source of this 651-nucleotide non-coding RNA. The record is from the annotation of a GenBank genome assembly. NCBI's taxonomy places the organism in Eukaryota, Metazoa, Arthropoda, Insecta, Hemiptera, Aphididae.